RNAcentral lists this ribosomal RNA (497 nucleotides) under uncultured bacterium. RNAcentral's name for it is "partial 16S ribosomal RNA". It matches the Rfam family "Bacterial small subunit ribosomal RNA", at positions 28 to 507 of the family's 1533-position model. The record is from RNAcentral.
GACGAGCGCUGGCGGCGUGCCUAAUACAUGCAAGUUGAGCGCUGAAGGUUGGUACUUGUACCAACUGGAUGAGCAGCGAACGGGUGAGUAACGCGUGGGGAAUCUGCCUUUGAGCGGGGGACAACAUUUGGAAACGAAUGCUAAUACCGCAUAAAAACUUUAAACACAAGUUUUAAGUUUGAAAGAUGCAAUUGCAUCACUCAAAGAUGAUCCCGCGUUGUAUUAGCUAGUUGGUGAGGUAAAGGCUCACCAAGGCGAUGAUACAUAGCCGACCUGAGAGGGUGAUCGGCCACAUUGGGACUGAGACACGGCCCAAACUCCUACGGGAGGCAGCAGUAGGGAAUCUUCGGCAAUGGACGAAAGUCUGACCGAGCAACGCCGCGUGAGUGAAGAAGGGUUUCGGAUCGUAAAACUCUGUUGGUAGAGAAGAACGUUGGUGAGAGUGGAAAGCUCAUCAAGUGACGGUAACUACCCAGAAAGGGACGGCUAACUACGUG